Molecule: ribosomal RNA, 305 nt
Filed under: uncultured bacterium
Lineage: Bacteria
Description: bacterial SSU rRNA
Rfam family: Bacterial small subunit ribosomal RNA
Source: RNAcentral
UUGCGCCUACGGGGGGCAGCAGUGGGGAAUAUUGCACAAUGGGGGAAACCCUGAUGCAGCGACGCCGCGUGAGCGAAGAAGUAUCUCGGUAUGUAAAGCUCUAUCAGCAGGGAAGAAAAUGACGGUACCUGACUAAGAAGCUCCGGCUAACUACGUGCCAGCAGCCGCGGCAAUACGUAGGGGGCAAGCGUUAUCCGGAUUUAAUGGGUGUAAAGGGAGCGCAGGCGGCGCGGUAAGUCUGAUGUGAAAGCCCGGGGCUCAACCCCGGGACUGCAUUGGAAACUGUCGUGCUGGAGAGACGGAGG